This is a long non-coding RNA of Sebastes umbrosus (honeycomb rockfish), 263 nucleotides long. RefSeq lists it as uncharacterized. The transcript has 2 exons. The record is from RefSeq and is a predicted model, not a curated record. Lineage: Eukaryota; Metazoa; Chordata; Actinopteri; Perciformes; Sebastidae.
GGUCAACCAAACCAAACCAAACCAAACUCUUUAUACUCUCCAGCUCCGCUCUAACUAGCUUUGUUUUAGGGUGUGCCCAACUAGGUGCUAGACAGGUAUUAUCCAAAUGCAUUACUUAGUGACAUCACCACGUUACGGAAGAAAAGGCAGAACUUCAAUGAAGGCGUUUCAGACAGUUCAGGAGCAGUGUUUCUGUGGGGGAGAUUAACUCCCUUUGGCGUAGACUUUUGGGCUUUGUAACUUUACAGACUUUUUACAUGCAC